GGGUUGUGAGGUUAAGCGACUAAGCGUACACGGUGGAUGCCCUGGCAGUCAGAGGCGAUGAAGGACGUGCUAAUCUGCGAUAAGCGUCGGUAAGGUGAUAUGAACCGUUAUAACCGGCGAUUUCCGAAUGGGGAAACCCAGUGUGUUUCGACACACUAUCAUUAACUGAAUCCAUAGGUUAAUGAGGCGAACCGGGGGAACUGAAACAUCUAAGUACCCCGAGGAAAAGAAAUCAACCGAGAUUCCCCCAGUAGCGGCGAGCGAACGGGGAGCAGCCCAGAGCCUGAAUCAGUGUGUGUGUUAGUGGAAGCGUCUGGAAAGGCGCGCGAUACAGGGUGACAGCCCCGUACACAAAAAUGCACAUAUUGUGAGCUCGAUGAGUAGGGCGGGACACGUGGUAUCCUGUCUGAAUAUGGGGGGACCAUCCUCCAAGGCUAAAUACUCCUGACUGACCGAUAGUGAACCAGUACCGUGAGGGAAAGGCGAAAAGAACCCCGGCGAGGGGAGUGAAAAAGAACCUGAAACCGUGUACGUACAAGCAGUGGGAGCACGCUUAGGCGUGUGACUGCGUACCUUUUGUAUAAUGGGUCAGCGACUUAUAUUCUGUAGCAAGGUUAACCGAAUAGGGGAGCCGAAGGGAAACCGAGUCUUAACUGGGCGUUAAGUUGCAGGGUAUAGACCCGAAACCCGGUGAUCUAGCCAUGGGCAGGUUGAAGGUUGGGUAACACUAACUGGAGGACCGAACCGACUAAUGUUGAAAAAUUAGCGGAUGACUUGUGGCUGGGGGUGAAAGGCCAAUCAAACCGGGAGAUAGCUGGUUCUCCCCGAAAGCUAUUUAGGUAGCGCCUCGUGAAUUCAUCUCCGGGGGUAGAGCACUGUUUCGGCAAGGGGGUCAUCCCGACUUACCAACCCGAUGCAAACUGCGAAUACCGGAGAAUGUUAUCACGGGAGACACACGGCGGGUGCUAACGUCCGUCGUGAAGAGGGAAACAACCCAGACCGCCAGCUAAGGUCCCAAAGUCAUGGUUAAGUGGGAAACGAUGUGGGAAGGCCCAGACAGCCAGGAUGUUGGCUUAGAAGCAGCCAUCAUUUAAAGAAAGCGUAAUAGCUCACUGGUCGAGUCGGCCUGCGCGGAAGAUGUAACGGGGCUAAACCAUGCACCGAAGCUGCGGCAGCGACGCUUAUGCGUUGUUGGGUAGGGGAGCGUUCUGUAAGCCUGUGAAGGUGUGCUGUGAGGCAUGCUGGAGGUAUCAGAAGUGCGAAUGCUGACAUAAGUAACGAUAAAGCGGGUGAAAAGCCCGCUCGCCGGAAGAUCAAGGGUUCCUGUCCAACGUUAAUCGGGGCAGGGUGAGUCGACCCCUAAGGCGAGGCCGAAAGGCGUAGUCGAUGGGAAACAGGUUAAUAUUCCUGUACUUGGUGUUACUGCGAAGGGGGGACGGAGAAGGCUAUGUUGGCCGGGCGACGGUUGUCCCGGUUUAAGCGUGUAGGCUGGUUUUCCAGGCAAAUCCGGAAAAUCAAGGCUGAGGCGUGAUGACGAGGCACUACGGUGCUGAAGCAACAAAUGCCCUGCUUCCAGGAAAAGCCUCUAAGCAUCAGGUAACAUCAAAUCGUACCCCAAACCGACACAGGUGGUCAGGUAGAGAAUACCAAGGCGCUUGAGAGAACUCGGGUGAAGGAACUAGGCAAAAUGGUGCCGUAACUUCGGGAGAAGGCACGCUGAUAUGUAGGUGAAGCGACUUGCUCGUGGAGCUGAAAUCAGUCGAAGAUACCAGCUGGCUGCAACUGUUUAUUAAAAACACAGCACUGUGCAAACACGAAAGUGGACGUAUACGGUGUGACGCCUGCCCGGUGCCGGAAGGUUAAUUGAUGGGGUCAGCGCAAGCGAAGCUCUUGAUCGAAGCCCCGGUAAACGGCGGCCGUAACUAUAACGGUCCUAAGGUAGCGAAAUUCCUUGUCGGGUAAGUUCCGACCUGCACGAAUGGCGUAAUGAUGGCCAGGCUGUCUCCACCCGAGACUCAGUGAAAUUGAACUCGCUGUGAAGAUGCAGUGUACCCGCGGCAAGACGGAAAGACCCCGUGAACCUUUACUAUAGCUUGACACUGAACAUUGAGCCUUGAUGUGUAGGAUAGGUGGGAGGCUUUGAAGUGUGGACGCCAGUCUGCAUGGAGCCGACCUUGAAAUACCACCCUUUAAUGUUUGAUGUUCUAACGUUGACCCGUAAUCCGGGUUGCGGACAGUGUCUGGUGGGUAGUUUGACUGGGGCGGUCUCCUCCUAAAGAGUAACGGAGGAGCACGAAGGUUGGCUAAUCCUGGUCGGACAUCAGGAGGUUAGUGCAAUGGCAUAAGCCAGCUUGACUGCGAGCGUGACGGCGCGAGCAGGUGCGAAAGCAGGUCAUAGUGAUCCGGUGGUUCUGAAUGGAAGGGCCAUCGCUCAACGGAUAAAAGGUACUCCGGGGAUAACAGGCUGAUACCGCCCAAGAGUUCAUAUCGACGGCGGUGUUUGGCACCUCGAUGUCGGCUCAUCACAUCCUGGGGCUGAAGUAGGUCCCAAGGGUAUGGCUGUUCGCCAUUUAAAGUGGUACGCGAGCUGGGUUUAGAACGUCGUGAGACAGUUCGGUCCCUAUCUGCCGUGGGCGCUGGAGAACUGAGGGGGGCUGCUCCUAGUACGAGAGGACCGGAGUGGACGCAUCACUGGUGUUCGGGUUGUCAUGCCAAUGGCACUGCCCGGUAGCUAAAUGCGGAAGAGAUAAGUGCUGAAAGCAUCUAAGCACGAAACUUGCCCCGAGAUGAGUUCUCCCUGACUCCUUGAGAGUCCUGAAGGAACGUUGAAGACGACGACGUUGAUAGGCCGGGUGUGUAAGCGCAGCGAUGCGUUGAGCUAACCGGUACUAAUGAACCGUGAGGCUUAACCUUACAACGCCGAAGCUGUU
Molecule: ribosomal RNA, 2930 nt
Filed under: Escherichia coli
Lineage: Bacteria; Pseudomonadati; Pseudomonadota; Gammaproteobacteria; Enterobacterales; Enterobacteriaceae
Description: 23S ribosomal RNA
Rfam family: Bacterial large subunit ribosomal RNA
Source: RNAcentral